CUAAGUUUGAUGGCGACCGGCGCACGGGUGAGUAACACGUAUCCAACCUGCCGAUGACUCGGGGAUAGCCUUUCGAAAGAAAGAUUAAUACCCGAUGGCAUAGUUCUUCCGCAUGGUAGAACUAUUAAAGAAUUUCGGUCAUCGAUGGGGAUGCGUUCCAUUAGGUUGUUGGCGGGGUAACGGCCCACCAAGCCUUCGAUGGAUAGGGGUUCUGAGAGGAAGGUCCCCCCACAUUGGAACUGAGACACGGUCCAAACUCCUACGGGAGGCAGCAUG
RNAcentral lists this ribosomal RNA (276 nucleotides) under uncultured bacterium. RNAcentral describes it as "partial 16S ribosomal RNA". It matches the Rfam family "Bacterial small subunit ribosomal RNA", at positions 79 to 353 of the family's 1533-position model. The record is from RNAcentral.